This is a long non-coding RNA of Cryptotermes secundus, 890 nucleotides long. RefSeq lists it as uncharacterized. Lineage: Eukaryota; Metazoa; Arthropoda; Insecta; Blattodea; Kalotermitidae. The transcript has 5 exons. The record is from RefSeq and is a predicted model, not a curated record.
UGGACUCUCGAAGUUUCUAUCGAUAGUCACUCCGCCAUAUUGCUUGUCAGUUGAACAUCUGCAGACCUCAAGAACAGCAGUGAAAUUUAACUCUUGCCUUCGUGUAAAAUUAUUUGGAAUAGCAGUAUGAUAGUCUUUGAAUUUAUUGGACUCUCUGCACAGUUUAGUUUAUGUAACACACGUAAAGUUAUAUAUGUGUAUAAUGUAGAUUACAUCUGCAUUUUUGUUAUCAAUUAUUAAUCAAUUGUUUUAUCCGGUUUCAGUCGUUAGUAGAUAGGUAACUACGCAAAUAGUGGUUUGUGAGUGAAAACAGUGUUAAUUUUCUAAAGAAAAAACAUUUGACAAGUGUAAUAAGAAGACAUUCACCAAUCUUCAGUACAUCUUAACCAGCAUUGUUGGCGAUAAGCCUCUUGCACUGGAAGGAAACCUAUACUCGAUGGCCAGGUGUUCAUGCAGUAUGCAACUGUCAGACUUUAUACUGGCCCAUGUAUCGGAGUCAUCAGGCAAUUUGGAGAACAAAUGGUGGUGUUCCGGGUGAGAAUCGAACCGAGAGUCUCCCAAAUACAAGUUUAGAACAUUACCACUACACCAAAGUGCUCAGUGUCCGAGCCGAGAUUCGAAUCGCGUAUCUACGAAAUACAAGAUAGAAGAAUUACCAUUUGGGAGAACUUGACCCGUAACCGGAUGAUUGACACUCCCCAAACGCCCAGUACGCCCGCGGCCAUGUGGACCAGUCAUCAUCUAUGCUGGACAAGGAAAGAAGAUGACAUUAAAUCAGAAUUGUAAUCAUAAAAUCCUGUCAUUGGAUGAGCAACACACCUUUCUCCCUCCACAAUAGAGAUUUAAAUUUAUCAAUACUUAAACAGUUACAAUCCUUUGAAAAUGUUUGC